RNAcentral lists this ribosomal RNA (253 nucleotides) under uncultured bacterium. Its description in RNAcentral is "partial 16S ribosomal RNA". It matches the Rfam family "Bacterial small subunit ribosomal RNA", at positions 524 to 776 of the family's 1533-position model. The record is from RNAcentral.
UACGAAGGGUGCAAGCGUUAAUCGGAAUUACUGGGCGUAAAGGGUGCGUAGGCGGUUGUUUAAGUCUGUCGUGAAAUCCCCGGGCUCAACCUGGGAAUGGCGAUGGAUACUGGACAGCUAGAGUGUGUCAGAGGAUGGUGGAAUUCCCGGUGUAGCGGUGAAAUGCGUAGAGAUCCGGAGGAACACCAGUGGCGCAGGCGGCUCUCUGGGUCGGCCCUGACGCUGAGGCGCGAAAGCGUGGAGAGCGAACGGG